GAUGAAGAACGUAGCGAAAUGCGAUAAGUAAUGUGAAUUGCAGAAUUCAGUGAAUCAUCGAAUCUUUGAACGCACAUUGCGCCCCCUGGUAUUCCGGGGGGCAUGCCUGUUCGAGCGUCAUUUCACCACUCAAGCCUCGCUUGGUAUUGGGCAACGCGGUCCGCCGCGUGCCUCAAAUCGACCGGCUGGGUCUUCUGUCCCCUAAGCGUUGUGGAAACUAUUCGCUAAAGGGUGUUCGGGAGGCUACGCCGUAAAACAACCCCAUUUCUAAGGUUGACCUCGGAUCAGGUAGGGAUACCCGCUGAACUUAAGCAUAUCAAUAAGCGGAGGC
Molecule: unclassified non-coding RNA, 331 nt
Filed under: soil metagenome
Description: partial contains 5.8S ribosomal RNA, internal transcribed spacer 2, and large subunit ribosomal RNA
Rfam family: 5.8S ribosomal RNA (bases 1-120)
Source: RNAcentral